Molecule: long non-coding RNA, 1391 nt
Filed under: Bos grunniens (domestic yak)
Lineage: Eukaryota; Metazoa; Chordata; Mammalia; Artiodactyla; Bovidae
Description: lncRNA (ENSBGRG00000005805.1)
Source: RNAcentral
AGGAAACUGGGUCACUUUCCUGAAACAUAUGAAUGAUCACCUCACAUCAUGUUGUUCUGUGCAGUUUAAUGUGAAAAUAGAUAAUCAAUGUGCCUUGUACACUCUGCAGCUUUACACCAGUCUCCAUCAGAGAAAGCCCUUGUAAGUGUGAGAAAUGCAUCUGCUCAUUCAUCAGAAUUCAGCAUAUAAGGCCUCCAUCCAUAUGGUCCUAUAAUGGAUUUCAUUGCCAAUCAUCCCUUCAGUGUGACUAUUUGCUAGAGCUCUGUCCUGGUGUGUUCUCACCUGGAAGCUCAUCUUUCCUCCAUGGAACCGAAUGAUGUACUCAGCACUCUCAAGUGAAGAUCCCUGGACAUUUCUUCUCCACCACUGCAGACAAAAGUAACUAAAGCUCAACGUGUCUGAAAAUCAACUUUGAUUGUCCUCCCAAACAUGCUUCUACCAUCUUUCUUAGCUUAGUGAACCAUGUGUUCAUCCACCAAGCAGCCCAGGCCACACUUGGGUCUCUGAGACUCAUCUCUUCCUCUCAUCUCUCAUGUUCAAACCUUCACCUCCUUAACAUUUCCUAAAUCUGUCUUUUCUAUUCUAUCUCAUUCCUAGGCUUCAAUUUAGACCCUUAUCAUUUUAUUAUGGAGAAUUUAAAAUUUUCUUAACUGAUUUUCCUGUCUCUUUUCUUGCAUAUUGUUUAUUGAUUGAUUAUCCACACUUCAUCCAGAGUGACUGCUUUAAAAUUCAAAUCUAACUCAAUUUCUUCCUAACUUACAACCCUUUAGCAGCUUCUUAUUGCUUAGGGAUCCUCGAAUGCUCUCAACAUGAUGUAUAAGACCUGAAGCGGCGUGCCCUCUGCCUGACCUGCAGCCUCUUUUCUUCCCUCUGUUACAGGCAAUGGUCCAGCCAUAACCCAGAAAAAAAGGUCAUGAACCGAACAGCUGGAGCAGAAGAUCCUAGAGGCUUUUAUCAUGUCUAAAAGAUGCUCUUAAAUGACUAAGAAUAAGUAGUCUUGAUAUUUCCUAUGCCCCAUCAGCAUACUGUCUGAUUUAUAAAUUUUGUUGAAUUUUGUCAUAAUUGCAUAUUCUUUCCAUAGGCUUUCAUCUUAUCUAUACUGGCUGUUGAGGGCUUACGUGUUGACCCUACACCAUAUCUGGUAUUUGCUCCCACUGAGUAAAGACUUCUUCAUGUUCUAACAAAUAUGGAAGCAUUUCACAUCACAUUGCCAGGCUCUGAGGAUCUCUAGCAAGAGCACAUGUGAUUAAUUUCAGUCUUUGAUAAUCCGAGAAGUAUGGAAAAUUCCCACCUCCUACUCUUUUGCAGGAUUCACAACUCUGCCAAGUUUUGUAGCUCAUCGGGAUACUUACAAGCUAAAUGUUGAGCUGUGGAAAAAAAGACAUCUUCAC